This 1177-nucleotide ribosomal RNA is filed under the name uncultured fungus. Its description in RNAcentral is "eukaryotic LSU rRNA". The stretch from base 547 to 1177 matches the Rfam family "Eukaryotic large subunit ribosomal RNA", at positions 1 to 649 of the family's 3401-position model. The record is from RNAcentral. Lineage: Eukaryota; Fungi.
AAGUCGUAACAAGGUUUCCGUAGGUGAACCUGCGGAAGGAUCAUUACAGAGAGGGGCUUAACUGCCCCGGGGGCUCCGGCCCCCACCUCUUCACCCUUUGAUUAAUCUACCUUUCUGUUGCUUUGGCGGGCCUUGGGGUCACGCUCAUGCCGUUCUCCUUCGGCGAGUGCCUGCCGACAGCCCCCCACAAAUCGUUUUUAUCCGUGUCGUCUGAAUACAAACACAAAUAAUCAAAACUUUCAACAACGGAUCUCUUGGUUCUGGCAUCGAUGAAGAACGCAGCGAAAUGCGAUAAGUAAUGUGAAUUGCAGAAUUCAGUGAAUCAUCGAAUCUUUGAACGCACAUUGCGCCCCUCGGUAUUCCGGGGGGCAUGCCUGUUCGAGCGUCAUUGCACCCCUCAAGCGUAGCUUGGUAUUGGGUCCUCGCCCCCGUGGCGUGCCCGAAAAGCAUUGGCGGUCCGGGUGGACUUUAAGCGUAGUAAAAUAUCUCCCGCUUUGAAAGCUCCCCCCGCGGCUGCCAGACAACCCCACAUAUUCUUUCAAUGAUCGACCUCGGAUCAGGUAGGGAUACCCGCUGAACUUAAGCAUAUCAAUAAGCGGAGGAAAAGAAACCAACAGGGAUUGCCUCAGUAACGGCGAGUGAAGCGGCAACAGCUCAAAUUUGAAAUCUGGCUCCUUCGGGGUCCGAGUUGUAAUUUGUAGAAGAUGUUUCGGGUGAGGCGCCAGUCUAAGUCCCUUGGAACAGGGCGUCAUAGAGGGUGAGAAUCCCGUAUGUGACCGGUGACCGAGUCCAUGUGAAACUCCUUCGACGAGUCGAGUUGUUUGGGAAUGCAGCUCAAAAUGGGUGGUAAAUUUCAUCUAAAGCUAAAUACCGGCCAGAGACCGAUAGCGCACGAGUAGAGUGAUCGAAAGAUGAAAAGCACUUUGAAAAGAGAGUUAAACAGUAUGUGAAAUUGUUGAAAGGGAAGCGCUGGCCACCAGACUGGUGUGGGACGGCUCCCCCGACGAUCCGUCGGGCUACUCUGUUGCACCCCGGCCAGCAUCGGUUCGGGUGGUCGGUCACGGGCCCCGGGAAUGUAUCAACCUUCGGGUAGACUUAUAGCCCGGGGUACAUGCGGCCUACCCGGACCGAGGAACGCGCUCCGGCUCGGAUGCUGGCGUAAUGGUGGUCAGCGGCC